This 446-nucleotide ribosomal RNA is filed under the name uncultured bacterium. Its description in RNAcentral is "bacterial SSU rRNA". It matches the Rfam family "Bacterial small subunit ribosomal RNA", at positions 28 to 521 of the family's 1533-position model. The record is from RNAcentral.
GAUGAACGCUGGCGGCAGGCUUAACACAUGCAAGUCGAGCGAAGACUUCGGUCUUAGCGGCGGACGGGUGAGUAACGCGUGGGAACGUGCCCUUCUCUACGGAACAGUCCUGGGAAACUGGGUUUAAUACCGUAUACGCCCUUUUGGGGAAAGAAUUUCGGUGAGGGAUUAGCCCGCGUUGGAUUAGGUAGUUGGUGGGGUAAUGGCCUACCAAGCCGACGAUCCAUAGCUGGUUUGAGAGGAUGAUCAGCCACACUGGGACUGAGACACGGCCCAGACUCCUACGGGAGGCAGCAGUGGGGAAUCUUAGACAAUGGGGGCAACCCUGAUCUAGCCAUGCCGCGUGAGUGAUGAAGGCCUUAGGGUUGUAAAGCUCUUUCAGCUGGGAAGAUAAUGACGGUACCAGCAGAAGAAGCCCCGGCUAACUCCGUGCCAGCAGCCGCGUA